AUACGGAGGGGGCUAGCGUUGUUCGGAAUUACUGGGCGUAAAGCGCGCGUAGGCGGACCAGUCAGUCAGGGGUGAAAUCCCGGGGCUCAACCCCGGAACUGCCUUUGAUACUGCUGGUCUUGAGUUCGAGAGAGGUGAGUGGAAUUCCGAGUGUAGAGGUGAAAUUCGUAGAUAUUCGGAGGAACACCAGUGGCGAAGGCGGCUCACUGGCUCGAUACUGACGCUGAGGUGCGAAAGCGUGGGGAGCAAACAGGAUUAGAAACCCGAGUAGUCC
RNAcentral lists this ribosomal RNA (274 nucleotides) under uncultured bacterium. RNAcentral describes it as "partial 16S ribosomal RNA". It matches the Rfam family "Bacterial small subunit ribosomal RNA", at positions 523 to 796 of the family's 1533-position model. The record is from RNAcentral.